GAUGAACGCUAGCGGCAGGCCUAACACAUGCAAGUCAGGGGUAACAUAGGAAAGCUUGCUUUUCUGAUGACGACCGGCGCACGGGUGCGUAACGCGUAUACAACCUACCUUUUAGCGGGGAAUAGCCCACGGGAAACUUGGAUUAAUGCCCCAUAGUAUAUAGACUUCUCCUGAAGUUUAUAUUAAACAUUUAUGGCUAUUAGAUGAGUAUGCGUCCUAUUAGUUAGUUGGUAAGGUAACGGCUUACCAAGGCAGCGAUAGGUAGGGGUCCUGAGAGGAGAUCCCCACACUGGUACUGAGACACGGACCAGACUCCUACGGGAGGCAGCAGUGAGGAAUAUUGGACAAUGGGCGAGAGCCUGAUCCAGCCAUGCCGCGUGCAGGAAGACUGCCCUAUGGGUUGUAAACUGCUUUUACAGAGGAAGAACCACCCCCACGUGUGGGGGUUUGACGGUACUCUGCGAAUAAGGAUCGGCUAACUCCGUG
Molecule: ribosomal RNA, 486 nt
Filed under: uncultured bacterium
Lineage: Bacteria
Description: bacterial SSU rRNA
Rfam family: Bacterial small subunit ribosomal RNA
Source: RNAcentral